This 274-nucleotide ribosomal RNA is filed under the name uncultured bacterium. Its description in RNAcentral is "partial 16S ribosomal RNA". It matches the Rfam family "Bacterial small subunit ribosomal RNA", at positions 523 to 796 of the family's 1533-position model. The record is from RNAcentral.
AUACAGAGGGUGCAAGCGUUAAUCGGAAUUACUGGGCGUAAAGCGCGCGUAGGUGGAUUGACAAGUCGGAUGUGAAAUCCCUGGGCUCAACCUGGGAAUUGCAUUCGAAACUGUCGGUCUGGAGUAGGGUAGAGGCAAGUGGAAUUUCAGGUGUAGCGGUGAAAUGCGUAGAGAUCUGAAGGAACAUCAGUGGCGAAGGCGGCUUGCUGGACUCAUACUGACACUGAGGUGCGAAAGCGUGGGUAGCAAACAGGAUUAGAAACCCUAGUAGUCC